RNAcentral lists this long non-coding RNA (394 nucleotides) under Carica papaya (papaya). RNAcentral's name for it is "long non-coding RNA (CPAP_LNC001125)". The record is from RNAcentral. Lineage: Eukaryota; Viridiplantae; Streptophyta; Magnoliopsida; Brassicales; Caricaceae.
UUAAUUAUUAAACCACAAAUUCCGAAAUUCAUUAAAAAGAAAUAGGUAAUAAAAAAGAAUAAAAAAAAUCAAAUAGCAAAAAUGUCAAGCAGUACUUAUCUGAGCUCAAGCUUAAAACAACAUUAGCAUCUUUUGCUAGAGAUGUAUGUAAUUUACAAUGAAUUAUUCGAGUUAAUCAAAUCUAAUUACGAUGUAGAGUAAAAUAAAUAAAUAACCUCUUGAACAUUAAACAACAAAAUACAACAAUGAAUAAUGGAAGUAAUUGCUACAAAUUCACACGGAACUUCUCUUUGCGCACAAAACUCAGAUUCUAACACCAUAUAAGAUACUGGAGGAUACCAUGUAGGAGAGACAUAAUCCUCCGGCACUCUCGUAAAGUAAAUGUAGCACCCGG